AGUGAACGCUGGCGGUAGGCCUAACACAUGCAAGUCGAACGGCAGCACAGGAAGGCUUGCUCUCUGGGUGGCGAGUGGCGGACGGGUGAGGAAUACAUCGGAAUCUACCUUUUCGUGGGGGAUAACGUAGGGAAACUUACGCUAAUACCGCAUACGACCUUCGGGUGAAAGCAGGGGACCUUCGGGCCUUGCGCGGAUAGAUGAGCCGAUGUCGGAUUAGCUAGUUGGCGGGGUAAAGGCCCACCAAGGCGACGAUCCGUAGCUGGUCUGAGAGGCUGAUCAGCCACACUGGAACUGAGACAAGGGGCCGACUCCAACGGGAGGCAGCAGUGGGGAAUAUUGGACAAUGGGCGCAAGCCUGAUACAGCCAUACCGCGUGGAUGAAGAAGGCCUUCGGGUUGUAAAGCCCUUUUGUUGGGAAAGAAAAGCAACCAGUUAAUACCUGGUUGUUCUGACGGUACCCAAAGAAUAAGCACCGGCUAACUUCGUGCCAGCAGCCGCCGUAA
This 506-nucleotide ribosomal RNA is filed under the name uncultured bacterium. RNAcentral describes it as "partial 16S ribosomal RNA". It matches the Rfam family "Bacterial small subunit ribosomal RNA", at positions 29 to 523 of the family's 1533-position model. The record is from RNAcentral.